Molecule: transfer RNA, 72 nt
Filed under: Ipomoea nil (Japanese morning glory)
Lineage: Eukaryota; Viridiplantae; Streptophyta; Magnoliopsida; Solanales; Convolvulaceae
Rfam family: tRNA
About the family: Transfer RNA (tRNA) molecules are approximately 80 nucleotides in length.
Source: Rfam by way of RNAcentral
GGGUGUUUGGUUUAUUGGUAUGAUUUUUGUUUUGGGUGCGAGAGGUUGUGAGUUCAAUUCUCACAACACCCC